Molecule: long non-coding RNA, 232 nt
Filed under: Elaeis guineensis (African oil palm)
Lineage: Eukaryota; Viridiplantae; Streptophyta; Magnoliopsida; Arecales; Arecaceae
Description: long non-coding RNA (EGUI_LNC077955)
Source: RNAcentral
UUGGGUACGUCCAUUGAUUAGAGGCUUUUAGUUUUUUUAUGGGAUAUCUCUUGGGUGUAUUUUGGGAUGUCUAAUUAUGGGUGCAAGGGCUUCAAUUAUUGGCGCCUAAAGGGUCUCCUAAAGUAAGUUGGAUAACUUAAGUUAAUAAGAAACCCAAUAUAAGUAGGACUUGUAUUAUGUGAUUGAAUAGGAUUCAAUCCUUGUGUCUAUUUAAAGAGACCUCCGCUAAGGU